Balaenoptera musculus (blue whale) is the source of this 240-nucleotide long non-coding RNA. RefSeq lists it as uncharacterized. The transcript has 3 exons. Lineage: Eukaryota; Metazoa; Chordata; Mammalia; Artiodactyla; Balaenopteridae. The record is from RefSeq and is a predicted model, not a curated record.
GCACACCAUGGAGGUAGGGGUGCCGGGCACUUGAGGAAACACCAGGCUUAGUCAGGAGGCAGAGGAAGUGAGUGGAAAAUGUGGAUGAUGGCUGAUGCAUCCUGACAUGGUUGAAUUAACAUGCACAGGAAUCCCAGAGAAGAGUGCUGAGCAAGCUGAGGUUAUUGAAACCAGUCAAGGGACUCUGAAAUGAAGGUGAGAGACUAGUCUCAACAGGAAACUGAAGAAACCCAAAGGUUU